Small nuclear RNA from Nycticebus coucang (slow loris), 102 nucleotides. The record is from RefSeq and is a predicted model, not a curated record. NCBI's taxonomy places the organism in Eukaryota, Metazoa, Chordata, Mammalia, Primates, Lorisidae.
UUGCUUUGGCAGCACAUGUACUAAAAUUGGAAAGAUACAAGAAGAUUAGUGUGGCCUCUUCACUAGGAUGACAUGCGAAUUCAUGAAACAUUCCAUAAAAAU